Molecule: ribosomal RNA, 596 nt
Filed under: Klebsiella aerogenes
Lineage: Bacteria; Pseudomonadati; Pseudomonadota; Gammaproteobacteria; Enterobacterales; Enterobacteriaceae
Description: bacterial LSU rRNA
Rfam family: Bacterial large subunit ribosomal RNA
Source: RNAcentral
GGGUUGUGAGGUUAAGCGACCAAGCGUACACGGUGGAUGCCCUGGCAGUCAGAGGCGAUGAAGGACGUGCUAAUCUGCGAAAAGCGUCGGUAAGGUGAUAUGAACCGCUAUAACCGACGAUGUCCGAAUGGGGAAACCCAGUGCAAUUCGUUGCACUAUCGUUAACUGAAUACAUAGGUUAACGAGGCGAACCGGGGGAACUGAAACAUCUAAGUACCCCGAGGAAAAGAAAUCAACCGAGAUUCCCCCAGUAGCGGCGAGCGAACGGGGAGAAGCCCAGAGUCUGAAUCAGCAUGUGUGUUAGUGGAAGCGUCUGGAAAGUCGCAGGGUACAGGGUGAUACUCCCGUACACGAAAGUACACAUGCUGUGAGCUCGAUGAGUAGGGCGGGACACGUGACAUCCUGUCUGAAUAUGGGGGGACCAUCCUCCAAGGCUAAAUACUCCUGACUGACCGAUAGUGAACCAGUACCGUGAGGGAAAGGCGAAAAGAACCCCGGCGAGGGGAGUGAAAAAGAACCUGAAACCGUGUACGUACAAGCAGUGGGAGCAUCCUUCGGGGUGUGACUGCGUACCUUUUGUAUAAUGGGUCAGCGAC